Molecule: small nuclear RNA, 140 nt
Organism: Eptesicus fuscus (big brown bat)
Lineage: Eukaryota; Metazoa; Chordata; Mammalia; Chiroptera; Vespertilionidae
Product: U4 spliceosomal RNA
Exons: 1
Source: RefSeq, a predicted model, not a curated record
AGCUUUGGCAGUGGCAGUAUCAUAGCCAAUGGGGUUUAUCUGAGGUGUGAUUAUUACUAAUUGAAAACUUUUCCAAAUAUACCGCAGUGACGACUUGAAUUAUAGUCAGCAUUGGCAAUUUUUGACAGUCUCUAUGGAUA